This 498-nucleotide ribosomal RNA is filed under the name uncultured bacterium. RNAcentral's name for it is "partial 16S ribosomal RNA". It matches the Rfam family "Bacterial small subunit ribosomal RNA", at positions 30 to 523 of the family's 1533-position model. The record is from RNAcentral.
AUUGAACGCUGGCGGCAUGCCUUACACAUGCAAGUCGAACGGUAACAGGUCUUCGGAUGCUGACGAGUGGCGAACGGGUGAGUAAUACAUCGGAACGUGCCUAGUAGUGGGGGAUAACUACUCGAAAGAGUGGCUAAUACCGCAUGAGAUCUACGGAUGAAAGCAGGGGAUCGCAAGACCUCGUGCUACUAGAGCGGCCGAUGGCAGAUUAGGUAGUUGGUGGGAUAAAAGCUUACCAAGCCGACGAUCUGUAGCUGGUCUGAGAGGACGAUCAGCCACACUGGGACUGAGAAACGGCCCAGACUCCUACGGGAGGCAGCAGUGGGGAAUUUUGGACAAUGGGCGCAAGCCUGAUCCAGCAAUGCCGCGUGCAGGAUGAAGGCCUUCGGGUUGUAAACUGCUUUUGUACGGAACGAAAAGCCCCGGGUUAAUACCCUGGGGUCAUGACGGUACCGCAAGAAUAAGCACCGGCUAACUACGUGCCAGCCGCCGCCGUAA